GACGAAGGAUGCAAGCGUUAUCCGGAUUCAUUGGGUUUAAAGGGAGCGUAGGUGGCCUGGUAAGUCAGUGGUGAAAUCUUCUCGCUUAACGAGAAAACUGCCAUUGAUACUGCUAGGCUUGAGUACAGCUGCCGUUGGCGGAAUAUGACAUGUAGUGGUGAAAUACAUAGAGAUGUCAUAGAACACCGAUUGCGAAGGCAGCUAACGAAACUGUAACUGACACUGAGGCUCGAAAGUGCGGGGAUCAAACAGG
This 253-nucleotide ribosomal RNA is filed under the name uncultured bacterium. Its description in RNAcentral is "partial 16S ribosomal RNA". It matches the Rfam family "Bacterial small subunit ribosomal RNA", at positions 524 to 776 of the family's 1533-position model. The record is from RNAcentral.